AGUGAACGCUGGCGGUAGGCCUAACACAUGCAAGUCGAACGGCAGCACAGUAAGAGCUUGCUCUUACGGGUGGCGAGUGGCGGACGGGUGAGGAAUACAUCGGAAUCUACUUUUUCGUGGGGGAUAACGUAGGGAAACUUACGCUAAUACCGCAUACGACCUACGGGUGGAAGCAGGGGAUCUUCGGACCUUGCGCGAUUGAAUGAGCCGAUGUCGGAUUAGCUAGUUGGCGGGGUAAAGGCCCACCAAGGCGACGAUCCGUAGCUGGUCUGAGAGGAUGAUCAGCCACACUGGAACUGAGACACGGUCCAGACUCCUACGGGAGGCAGCAGUGGGGAAUAUUAGACAAUGGGCGCAAGCCUGAUCCAGCCAUACCGCGUGGGUGAAGAAGGCCUACGGGUUGUAAAGCCCUUUUGUUGGGAAAGAAAAGCAGCAGAUUAAUACCCCGCUGUUCUGACGGUACCCAAAGAAUAAGCACCGGCUAACUUCGUG
This 492-nucleotide ribosomal RNA is filed under the name uncultured bacterium. RNAcentral's name for it is "partial 16S ribosomal RNA". It matches the Rfam family "Bacterial small subunit ribosomal RNA", at positions 29 to 507 of the family's 1533-position model. The record is from RNAcentral.